This 497-nucleotide ribosomal RNA is filed under the name uncultured bacterium. RNAcentral describes it as "partial 16S ribosomal RNA". It matches the Rfam family "Bacterial small subunit ribosomal RNA", at positions 28 to 507 of the family's 1533-position model. The record is from RNAcentral.
GAUGAACGCUGGCGGCGUGCCUAAUACAUGCAAGUCGAGCGAACAGACGAGGAGCUUGCUCCUCUGACGUUAGCGGCGAACGGGUGAGUAACACGUGGAUAACCUACCUAUAAGACUGGGAUAACUUCGGGAAACCGGAGCUAAUACCGGAUAAUAUAUUGAACCGCAUGGUUCAAUAGUGAAAGACGGUUUUGCUGUCACUUAUAGAUGGAUCCGCGCCGCAUUAGCUAGUUGGUAAGGUAACGGCUUACCAAGGCAACGAUGCGUAGCCGACCUGAGAGGGUGAUCGGCCACACUGGAACUGAGACACGGUCCAGACUCCUACGGGAGGCAGCAGUAGGGAAUCUUCCGCAAUGGGCGAAAGCCUGGCGGAGCAACGCCGCGUGAGUGAUGAAGGUCUUCGGAUCGUAAAACUCUGUUAUUAGGGAAGAACAAAUGUGUAAGUAACUAUGCACGUCUUGACGGUACCUAAUCAGAAAGCCACGGCUAACUACGUG